UACGUACUGUGCGAACGUUAUUCGGAAUCACUGGGCUUAAAGGGUGCGUAGGCGGCCAAUUAAGUAGGGUGUGAAAGGCUUCGGCUCAACCGGAGCAUUGCGCUCUAGACUGCUUGGCUCGAGUGAGAUAGGGGUGUGCGGAACUUCCAGUGGAGCGGUGAAAUGUGUUGAUAUUGGAAGGAACGCCGGUGGCGAAAGCGGCACACUGGGUCUUAACUGACGCUGAGGUGCGAAAGCGUGGGGAGCAAACAGG
RNAcentral lists this ribosomal RNA (253 nucleotides) under uncultured bacterium. RNAcentral's name for it is "partial 16S ribosomal RNA". It matches the Rfam family "Bacterial small subunit ribosomal RNA", at positions 524 to 776 of the family's 1533-position model. The record is from RNAcentral.